Molecule: unclassified non-coding RNA, 329 nt
Filed under: Hevea brasiliensis (rubber tree)
Lineage: Eukaryota; Viridiplantae; Streptophyta; Magnoliopsida; Malpighiales; Euphorbiaceae
Source: RNAcentral
GCAAAUUCCACCAAUCCUUUCCUUGAGUGACUUAGGAGAGAACUUCACCCCAUCAGAGCUGCCAUCCUCGAGGCAAGUAAUGUUGCUUAUAUUGAUAUCCGGAACCAAAGGAGGAUCUUCUUCAAGUGGUAAAGGUUUAUUCAAGUCAGCCAAUUCAUCAGUCCUUUUUGAGGAAUUGGUUCUGUCGAGAUCAGCAUCAGAAUGAAAUUCUAAAGCUCUAGGUGUCUUCACGUCUCUUCUUCGGGGGAUCGGAUAAAUUCCCUCAACAGGGUUCCCUUGAAUGCCGGCUAAUCCCAAUUGUUUCAUAGUAGUUUGUUCUUCUUCGUUAU